RNAcentral lists this unclassified non-coding RNA (342 nucleotides) under soil metagenome. RNAcentral's name for it is "partial contains 5.8S ribosomal RNA, internal transcribed spacer 2, and large subunit ribosomal RNA". The stretch from base 1 to 120 matches the Rfam family "5.8S ribosomal RNA", at positions 35 to 154 of the family's 154-position model. The record is from RNAcentral.
GAUGAAGAACGUAGCGAAAUGCGAUAAGUAAUGUGAAUUGCAGAAUUCAGUGAAUCAUCGAAUCUUUGAACGCACAUUGCGCCCGACAGCAUUCUGGCGGGCAUGCCUGUUCGAGCGUCAUUUCAACCCUCGAGCCCCCCCGGGGGCCUCGGUGUUGGGGGACGGCACACCAGCCGCCCCCGAAAUGCAGUGGCGACCUCGCCGCAGCCUCCCCUGCGUAGUAGCACACACCUCGCACCGGAGCGCGGAGACGGUCACGCCGUAAAACGCCCAACUUCUUAGAGUUGACCUCGGAUCAGGUAGGAAUACCCGCUGAACUUAAGCAUAUCAAUAAGCGGAGGA